Long non-coding RNA from Dendronephthya gigantea, 1003 nucleotides. RefSeq lists it as uncharacterized. Lineage: Eukaryota; Metazoa; Cnidaria; Anthozoa; Malacalcyonacea; Nephtheidae. The transcript is spliced from 6 exons. The record is from RefSeq and is a predicted model, not a curated record.
AAUUACAGAAUUACAGUGCAAUAUCGUCAUCUGUGGGUAGUAAACUACCCCGGGUUCUAAAAACUUCCGUGGGUCGAUGUUCGGCGAUGCAUCAACCGUGAGGGUUUCAAUCGUGAAUAUAAUAGGGUUAUCAAUUUGAGGUAGUCAAGGUUUUUAAGAUAGUUGUGUCAAGGAAGUUGACAGAUUUCUCAGAGAAGGAAAAGUCAAAUUUGAUGGUAUAAGAUUUUCAGGAGCUUGUUGGAGGAGCUCCUGUUCAAGUGCUGCCAUGAAUAUGUUUGCAUAGGGGUAAUUGUGUUGAUUUCUUUCAACAUGUCUAUACAGGCUUGGAUGCCUUGAUCAUUAGAAAAGAGGCAUAUAUGGUCUUGUAUGGUGUGUGUUUGGGUGUCGGGACAAAGGCCUUCUAUUAUUGAAUCAGUUUCCUGAUCGGAUAUGAUCAAUUUGUGGCCAAAAAUAAGGGAGGUGUCCAAGUCUGUUAUGUCUCCGUCGUCAGUCUGUAAAAAUUCGUUUAUUUGUUCCUCGGACAUGUCCGGUGAGGGUGGGGGGUUGGGUUGGAUUGGGCAUGGGUUAGUGUCAAGGGUGGGGAUUGCGUUGUCAGGGUUAUCAAUCAACAUAUUCUGGGGGUCGGUUAGGUUUUUGGUAGGGUUUUCGGUCGGGUUGCUUCGAUUUUUGGAGUUGAAUGGGACUUCUUAAAAAUUAAGGUUAUCCUUUGUGAGUAAUAGUUCCAUUGAGUAGUGAUCGUUGUGUUUGUUAGUAAGUGUGUUAGGGGUGUGUGAAUAAACAAGGGGGACUGUUUUCUGGUUAACUGUAUGAGAUUGAUUCAAUUGUUACAACUAGAACUAAACAAUAUGGCGAGCUUGGUGGCGCUCUCUGGUUAUUUUUAUUUCUAUUUCUACGCCCCUCAAUUCGCAAUUAACCAUUCAACAAAUUACUCAUUAUGUUCCCCUUUAGCCCACAUACACAUAACGUCUUUUUUUUCUCUAGUUUGUCUAAUUCAGACAAUUGU